RNAcentral lists this ribosomal RNA (316 nucleotides) under uncultured bacterium. Its description in RNAcentral is "bacterial SSU rRNA". It matches the Rfam family "Bacterial small subunit ribosomal RNA", at positions 28 to 334 of the family's 1533-position model. The record is from RNAcentral.
GACGAACGCUGGCGGCGUGCCUAAUACAUGCAAGUCGAGCGGACCGAAGGGAGCUUGCUCCUUUAGGUUAGCGGCGGACGGGUGAGUAACACGUGGGCAACCUGCCCUGCAGACUGGGAUAACUUCGGGAAACCGGAGCUAAUACCGGAUAACACCGAAAACCGCAUGGUUUUCGGUUGAAAGGCGGCAUUAGCUGUCACUGCAGGAUGGGCCCGCGGCGCAUUAGCUAGUUGGUGAGGUAACGGCUCACCAAGGCAUCGAUGGAUAGGGGAGCCGAGAGGCUUAUCCCCCACAUUGGGACUGAGACACGGCCCAA